This 102-nucleotide non-coding RNA is filed under the name Alexandrium minutum. Lineage: Eukaryota; Dinophyceae; Gonyaulacales; Pyrocystaceae. The record is from RNAcentral.
GGAAGAUGCUUGACAAGCAGCAGGAGUUGCGAGCAGCCUCGGGGCCGAGGAAGACGGUGACCUUGCCCCGGGCCCACUCCUGCAUAGGCCCCUUCCCAGGUU